Molecule: ribosomal RNA, 233 nt
Filed under: uncultured Planctomycetales bacterium
Lineage: Bacteria; Pseudomonadati; Planctomycetota; Planctomycetia; Planctomycetales
Description: partial 16S ribosomal RNA
Rfam family: Bacterial small subunit ribosomal RNA
Source: RNAcentral
GGAGUUAAGAAAUGUAGGUGUGCUAAUAUCACAUCUAUUUGACGAAGGCUCCAAAGGAAGUCACGGCUAACUCUGUGCCAGCAGCCGCGGUAAUACAGAGGUGGCAAGCGUUGUUCGGAAUUAUUGGGCGUAAAGAGCACGUAGGUGGGUUUGUAAGUCAGAUGUGAAAGCCUCCUGUUCAACGGGAGAAUCGCAUCUGAAACUGCUGAUCUUGAGUGUAGGAGGGGAGAGUG